RNAcentral lists this long non-coding RNA (1140 nucleotides) under Monodelphis domestica (gray short-tailed opossum). RNAcentral describes it as "lncRNA (ENSMODG00000018043.3)". Lineage: Eukaryota; Metazoa; Chordata; Mammalia; Didelphimorphia; Didelphidae. The record is from RNAcentral.
AUGGGGAAAAGGAAACCGAGAAGCUUUCAGUUCACUGAUCACAUCUGCCUUCCUCCUCUGCUGCAGAGAGAAGGAGGGUUGAUUCUGAACAGAGAGACAACUGUUGCUUCUAGGGUAAAAGCACUCAUGGGAGUCACCCAGAUGCCAGAUGCCACCGUAACCUCGGCAACCAUCCCAGCCUGAUGCUCUGGACAUGGCCUACAGUCAAUACCUCUCUCUCCUAACAUUAGGCAGGGACAACUCUACACCCAUUCUCAGCUCUGAAGAAGUUACAGAAGACUAAGACCAUUGCCCCUUUUCCCUUACAUAUUAGGAAAGGGGGGAGAUGACAUGGGCACUGUACCCCCCAGAAACCCAGGUGAACUAUUAUCAGGGAAACUCCCUUGCGUUUGCAUCCUAGAAACACACAAUGACCGCACUAGGGUCCUGAGAUGUUUAUCCUCUUUGAUAGUCCUCUAGAUUUAAGAUGGACAAAGAGAUGAAUCUUUAUGCCUCCAGGCAGACCCCAGUCAGAUGACCACCCCAUCCCACCAAACGCCUGAGGGCUUACCACUCUAAGUCACAUCGACACCAGUGUGAAAAUGGAGAUUUGAACUCUGGACUCCAAUUCCCAGGAGUCCUUGCUAGCUCCCAGAAUGCUCUCUAAUCUCACUGAGAUUUCCACCUAGGCAAGGUUAAAAUUUCUAUUUAACCUGGUCGGAGCACAUGUGGCUCUCCACCUAGCAGGCAAAAUGUGAGUGGUCAUGAAUAGGCUCUCUGGGCCUAGCACGUGCCUUUCUUACUUGUAUUUUCCUAAAUUCCUUAUCUUAAAUAGACCUCUAAAAAAUAUAAUACUUUUUGCAGAGAGAAACUAAUUUCUACCUGCCUCAGUUUCCCUAAAUUUUAAUAUAACAGUUGAAUUUUAAUUGUUACACCAGGAUAUAGCAUCUGUUGUAAAAAGUAUAAAAUCCCCAGAACUGAUAGCGUCUGGAGGACAGCCUUUUCCAUCCAUGCUGUCCUCAUGGAGGAGCCUUUCCAUUCAUGCUGUCCUCCCAGGAACUGCUCCCCAUCUUGCUGUCCUACCUUGCUAUCCUCCUGGCCAUUCUCAACAUUACUUUCUAAAUUAAUAAAUUUCUCUUUUUGUUUUUAAGCUAAGUUUUG